GCCUUGGUUAGUUCAGUUGGUUAGAACAUGGUGCUGAUAAUGCCAUGGUCGCAAGUUCGAUCCCCAUAUGGGACA
This is a non-coding RNA of Podarcis lilfordi (Lilford's wall lizard), 75 nucleotides long. The record is from the annotation of a GenBank genome assembly. Lineage: Eukaryota; Metazoa; Chordata; Lepidosauria; Squamata; Lacertidae.